GUGGGCGUAGCUCAGUUGGUCAGAGCGCCUGUCUGUGGAACAGGAGGUCGUGGGUUCGAGCCCCAUCGCCCACC
Molecule: transfer RNA, 74 nt
Filed under: Chloroflexota bacterium
Lineage: Bacteria; Bacillati; Chloroflexota
Description: Chloroflexi bacterium tRNA-His
Rfam family: tRNA
About the family: Transfer RNA (tRNA) molecules are approximately 80 nucleotides in length. Their secondary structure includes four short double-helical elements and three loops (D, anti-codon, and T loops). Further hydrogen bonds mediate the characteristic L-shaped molecular structure. tRNAs have two regions of fundamental functional importance: the anti-codon, which is responsible for specific mRNA codon recognition, and the 3' end, to which the tRNAs corresponding amino acid is attached (by aminoacyl-tRNA synthetases). tRNAs cope with the degeneracy of the genetic code in two manners: having more than one tRNA (with a specific anti-codon) for a particular amino acid; and 'wobble' base-pairing, i.e. permitting non-standard base-pairing at the 3rd anti-codon position.
Source: RNAcentral